RNAcentral lists this small nuclear RNA (62 nucleotides) under Zalophus californianus (California sea lion). The record is from RNAcentral. Lineage: Eukaryota; Metazoa; Chordata; Mammalia; Carnivora; Otariidae. RNAcentral also lists the same sequence under 1 other name.
AUGCUGACUUCCAUAGCACAUAUACUAAAAUUGGAAUGAUACAGAGAAGAUUAGCAUGGCCC